AUUGAACGCUGGCGGCAUGCCUUACACAUGCAAGUCGAACGGCAGCACGGGUGCUUGCACCUGGUGGCGAGUGGCGAAAGGGUGAGUAAUACAUCGGAACAUGUCCUGUAGUGGGGGAUAGCCCGGCGAAAGCCGGAUUAAUACCGCAUACGAUCUACGGAUGAAAGCGGGGGACCUUCGGGCCUCGCGCUGUAGGGUUGGCCGAUGGCUGAUUAGCUAGUUGGUGGGGUAAAGGCCUACCAAGGCGACGAUCAGUAGCUGGUCUGAGAGGACGACCAGCCACACUGGGACUGAGACACGGCCCAGACUCCUACGGGAGGCAGCAGUGGGGAAUUUUGGACAAUGGGCGAAAGCCUGAUCCAGCAAUGCCGCGUGUGUGAAGAAGGCCUUCGGGUUGUAAAGCACUUUUGUCCGGAAAGAAAUCCUUGGCUCUAAUACAGUCGGGGGAUGACGGUACCGGAAGAAUAAGCACCGGCUAACUACGUG
Molecule: ribosomal RNA, 486 nt
Filed under: uncultured bacterium
Lineage: Bacteria
Description: partial 16S ribosomal RNA
Rfam family: Bacterial small subunit ribosomal RNA
Source: RNAcentral